AUGGGCAGCACCUUCCCGCUCGACCUCGAAUUCCCAGAGGACUAUGGCCUCGAGGAAGAGGAUGAAGUGAGCAUCGAUGGGGAGCCUUUGUUCGAGCACAAGCUCGCCAACCAAGCCGGCGCAAACAAGAAGCGCAAAAGCAAGCAGACGAAGGCAUACACGCAGCCGGAGGACAAACUCCUUUGUGAGUGUUGGAGGGACAUUGGACAAGACCCCAAGGUCGGCGCCGAGAAAAAGGCAUCUAUCUUUUGGCUUCGUGUUUAUCGUGAGUACCAUGAAUGCAAGAAGUUCGAGCCGUACCAAAUGGAGAGCAAGCGCGGGUGGGUGUCGCUCUUGAAGUGA
Molecule: ribosomal RNA, 342 nt
Filed under: Triticum aestivum (bread wheat)
Lineage: Eukaryota; Viridiplantae; Streptophyta; Magnoliopsida; Poales; Poaceae
Description: partial small subunit ribosomal RNA
Source: RNAcentral